AGUGGCUCUACAGAAGAGAAAGCAGUAGUCUUCACAUAGCAAUUUUUCCUAGAGAUUCUUUAUUAAAGAAAAGGAAAAAAUGUGAAAUUGCUACUCAGGAAAGGCCAUUCUAAAUGAGCAAAGCCAAUAUAAACCAAAAGUAUAUACUUUUCCUUGAGCAGAAAAACCCGAGGACUCCAUUACUUAUCUAUACUGAGGUAGGAUUUUCCAGAGGCUAUCCCUGCUCUGGCCAAGACCUACUUAUACUUCCAUCAAGCAACUGCACUAUGAUUUAAUUAACCAUUUUACCGCGUGGACAUCUAAGUUGUUUGAAUUAUUUGGAUUCUUUGCACAUGACAAGUUCAAAGGUAUUAAGUUUCUGAAGACAAACCAUAAAAUAUCCUGUCAAGAGCUGGAAUAGAGUGGUUUAUCCACCACUUUGUCCCUUGAUCUGAGACUCAUACCUGGAACAUACGAAGGUGUUCAACAAAUACUUGUUGAAUAAAUUUGGAGUUUCCAGUUCAUGAUCAGUUGGUCUCAACUAUUUGGGCCAACUGGAUGAGGCAACACAUCAUGGCAGUAGCAUGUGGUGAAACAAGCCUAUUUAUAUCAUGAACCAGAGAGCAAAAGGAAAGAGGAAAAAGAUGGGGUUCCACAGUCCACUUCAAGGACACUCCCCCAAUGACUUAAGGAGCUCUCACAAAGCCUUUAUCCAAAUCACAGCACUACUUCAAAUCAAUAUCAAACUCAGAUACUGUGUUAGUUGGGAUUGAUAUUGCUUCAUUCAAUUUAUCUAUGUUAUAAUCACUCAUACUGAUGAAUAUUUUUGUGUUUCUAAUAAACAAACAUACCUAAAUCUAUAUCAUAUGAGCUGAUAACAAAACAAAUCCACUCAUCUAUUUUUGUGAAAUAGACUCGAAG
Chinchilla lanigera (long-tailed chinchilla) is the source of this 900-nucleotide long non-coding RNA. RefSeq lists it as uncharacterized. The record is from RefSeq and is a predicted model, not a curated record. The transcript is spliced from 4 exons. NCBI's taxonomy places the organism in Eukaryota, Metazoa, Chordata, Mammalia, Rodentia, Chinchillidae.